RNAcentral lists this unclassified non-coding RNA (320 nucleotides) under uncultured fungus. Its description in RNAcentral is "sequence contains ITS1". The record is from RNAcentral. Lineage: Eukaryota; Fungi.
UUCUACUGGCGGUUGACCGCAGAACAGAACCUGAUGUUCUUUGCACGUCUUCACGGCCUCAGUGAUCGCAUUGCAAAGCAGCGCAUCCAGGAACUGUUUGCGAAACUCGAACUGGAGGAAGUUGCACGCCGACGGUUUGGCGAGAUGUCAACCGGAAACAAGCAGCGGUUAGCGGUAGCGCGCGCGAUGUUAUCGAGUCCGCCUGUGCUCUUACUCGACGAACCGACUCGUUCGCUCGAUCCGCUCGCCGCAGCGCGCAUGCGCGAACUGAUUCGAUCGCUGGCGCAGCAAGAGCCGCCUGUAACAAUACUGCUUACGUC